GACGAACGCUGGCGGCGUGCUUAACACAUGCAAGUCGAACGGAAAGGCCCUGCUUGCAGGGUACUCGAGUGGCGAACGGGUGAGUAACACGUGGGUGAUCUGCCCUGCACUUCGGGAUAAGCCUGGGAAACUGGGUCUAAUACCAGAUAGGAGCCAUUUUUAGUGUGAUGGUUGGAAAGUUUUUUCGGUGUAGGAUGAGCUCGCGGCCUAUCAGCUUGUUGGUGGGGUAAUGGCCUACCAAGGCGGCGACGGGUAGCCGGCCUGAGAGGGUGGACGGCCACAUUGGGACUGAGAUACGGCCCAGACUCCUACGGGAGGCAGCAGUGGGGAAUAUUGCACAAUGGGCGCAAGCCUGAUGCAGCGACGCCGCGUGGGGGAUGACGGCCUUCGGGUUGUAAACUCCUUUCGCUAGGGACGAAGCUUUUUGUGACGGUACCUAGAUAAGAAGCACCGGCUAACUACGUG
RNAcentral lists this ribosomal RNA (465 nucleotides) under uncultured bacterium. RNAcentral describes it as "partial 16S ribosomal RNA". It matches the Rfam family "Bacterial small subunit ribosomal RNA", at positions 28 to 507 of the family's 1533-position model. The record is from RNAcentral.